RNAcentral lists this non-coding RNA (109 nucleotides) under Pseudonocardia sp. Its description in RNAcentral is "TPP sequence". It matches the Rfam family "TPP riboswitch aptamer (THI element)". Rfam says of the family: Vitamin B(1) in its active form thiamin pyrophosphate (TPP) is an essential coenzyme that is synthesised by coupling of pyrimidine and thiazole moieties in bacteria. Lineage: Bacteria; Bacillati; Actinomycetota; Actinomycetes; Pseudonocardiales; Pseudonocardiaceae. The record is from RNAcentral.
ACGAGAAACCGCGGGAGCUCGUGCUGGAACGGGCUGAGAGGGCGGAGCGCCGCCGACCGCAGAACCUGGUCCGGGUAAUGCCGGCGUAGGGAGGAACAGCCGCAUGACG